This 384-nucleotide ribosomal RNA is filed under the name Haptolina sp. RNAcentral describes it as "partial small subunit ribosomal RNA". It matches the Rfam family "Eukaryotic small subunit ribosomal RNA", at positions 587 to 975 of the family's 1831-position model. Lineage: Eukaryota; Haptophyta; Prymnesiales; Prymnesiaceae. The record is from RNAcentral.
AGCUCCAAUAGCGUAUAUUAAAGUUGUUGCAGUUAAAACGCUCGUAGUCGGAUUUCGGGGCCUGCCUGCCGGUCUGCCGAUGGGUAUGCACUGGCAGGCGCGUCCUUCCUUCCGGAGACUGUCCCUACUCUUAACUGAGCGGGGUCGGGAGACGGAUCGUUUACUUUGAAAAAAUCAGAGUGUUUCAAGCAGGCAGCUCGCUCUUGCAUGGAUUAGCAUGGGAUAAUGAAAUAGGACUUUGGUGCUAUUUUGUUGGUUUCGAACACCGAAGUAAUGAUUAACAGGGACAGUCAGGGGCACUCGUAUUCCGCCGAGAGAGGUGAAAUUCUCAGACCAGCGGAAGACGAACCACUGCGAAAGCAUUUGCCAGGGAUGUUUUCACUG